UUUUAUAAUUUAAGUAAAAAAAAAUUACAAAAUUUUGUAAUUUAAUAGGACAUCGUUUCCAGCAAAAUUCUUUGCCCAAUUCCUGCAAAGGCAAAAUUAACUUCUACGAGCGCAGCUUAUCUACAAAAUUCUGAAGCGUGAGGUCAUUAGUUCGUUGGAACUACUGCUAGCCACAAUCAUUUUUACAUAUUUAUGGCAACGGCAACGGCUACGGCGACGGUGGCAGUGGCCGCCGCAGCUGCUUCUAAGAUUAUAAGAGGCGGCGGACUGAGAGUGGGUGUCUGCAGUCGCCUGGGUAUGGAUAUGGUUCGCAAUCGUCCAUUUAGUAUCAAGACCGCAACGCUAUUUUCACCAAGGCACCAUCGAUUUUCCUGUUUUUGCACCACCGCUAAUGUUAAUGUGAAUGCGGAAGAGCCCACAUCAGUUUCCACCGCCACGAACACAGCAUCUGAAUCGGGAUUGGAUGGGGAUGUUGGCAGUAUAAGAGAUGCAGCCAAGAUGCUCGACAUAAGGGUUGGCCGAAUCAUCAAAGCGUGGAGGCACGAGGAGGCAGAUACCCUUUAUGUGGAGGAGGUGGAUGUGGGGGAGGAUGAACCUCGUAUCGUUUGUAGUGGGCUUGUUAAGUACAUCCCUCUCCACCAUCUCCAGGAUAGGAAAGUGGUGGUGCUUGCUAACCUUAAGCCUAGGAACAUGCGUGGGGUCAAAUCGAGUGGAAUGCUCAUGGCUGCUUCCGAUGCUUCUCAUGAGAAUAUUGAGCUCCUUGAGCCUCCUGAAGGUUCUAUUCCGGGGGAAAGGAUUUGGUUUGGCGCUGAAGACGACCAACAAAAUCAACCUGAUCCUGCCACUCCUAACCAGAUUCAAAAGAAAAAGAUUUGGGAAUCAGUGCAGCCUCAUCUCAAGACAGAUUAUUCUUGUCUGGCUAUGCUUGGGGAGCAUUUAAUGCGGACUUCUGCAGGUGUGGUGGGGUGCAGAUCGCUGAAGAAUGCAAAUAUUUCUUGAAUGAGCUUGGAAAUUCGUGUCACUUAGUUUUUCAUUUCUUCUUGGUGCGAAAUUUUCCUAGCUGCAUUUGUUUCUUCCUUGUCUAGCUUGGCAAAGUUAAUGUGGAUAUUAGCAUAUGCUUGCUACAAUUUCUGAUGGUCACAGUUUUAUCGGUUCUUUUAUGUCUUUGUGAUAACAUAUCUUUGAAUUAUUUGCAAGCAAUUUAGUUUAGACAUUGAGUUACUUAUUUCAUUUUAGUAGUGUCUUUUCAUCCUUAAAAGGCACACUAACUGGGAACCCUUGACGACUGCCUUGAGCUAUUCUUUCAACAAAGUGUAUAUAUUAAAAAUUUUACUGACAUUACUAUCUAUGCCUGGUUACUUUCUUCGCUAUUGGUAAUAUCUAU
Molecule: unclassified non-coding RNA, 1384 nt
Filed under: Hevea brasiliensis (rubber tree)
Lineage: Eukaryota; Viridiplantae; Streptophyta; Magnoliopsida; Malpighiales; Euphorbiaceae
Source: RNAcentral